GCCGGUGUGGUGGAACUGGCAGACGCGCCGGACUCAAAAUCCGGUGGGGGCAACCCCGUGUCGGUUCGAUUCCGACCACCGGCACCA
RNAcentral lists this transfer RNA (87 nucleotides) under Nitrospiraceae bacterium. Its description in RNAcentral is "tRNA-Leu". It matches the Rfam family "tRNA". Rfam says of the family: Transfer RNA (tRNA) molecules are approximately 80 nucleotides in length. The record is from RNAcentral. Lineage: Bacteria; Pseudomonadati; Nitrospirota; Nitrospiria; Nitrospirales; Nitrospiraceae. RNAcentral also lists the same sequence under 3 other names.